CCUACGGGAGGCAGCAGUUAGGAAUAUUGGUCAAUGGCCGUAAGGCUGAACCAGCCAAGUAGCGUGAGGGAAGACUGCCCUAUGGGUUGUAAACCUCUUUUAUGCGGGGAUAAAGGUGUCCACGUGUGGAUGUUUGCAGGUACCGCAUGAAUAAGGACCGGCUAAUUCCGUGCCAGCAGCCGCGGUAAUACGGAGGGUCCGGGCGUUAUCCGGAUUUAUUGGGUUUAAAGGGAGCGUAGGCCGGUCUUUAAGCGUGCCGGGAAAUUUUGUGGCUCAACCAUGAGCGUGCGGCGCGAACUGGAGACCUUGAGUGCGCGGAAGGCAGGCGGAAUUCGUGGUGUAGCGGUGAAAUGCUUAGAUAUCACGAAGAACCCCGAGUGCGAAGGCAGCCUGCCGCAGCGUUACUGACGCUGAAGCUCGAAAGCGCGGGUAUCGAACAGGAGUAGAUACCCUAGUAGUC
RNAcentral lists this ribosomal RNA (460 nucleotides) under uncultured bacterium. RNAcentral's name for it is "partial 16S ribosomal RNA". It matches the Rfam family "Bacterial small subunit ribosomal RNA", at positions 338 to 795 of the family's 1533-position model. The record is from RNAcentral.